This 488-nucleotide long non-coding RNA is filed under the name Equus caballus (horse). RNAcentral describes it as "lncRNA (ENSECAG00000049923.1)". Lineage: Eukaryota; Metazoa; Chordata; Mammalia; Perissodactyla; Equidae. The record is from RNAcentral.
CUGGAGCCAAUCUGAAUAUGGCUAGUGAGCUGUUACUCAUCGAGAUCUCCUCGCCAGCAGUCUUUACUCUCCAGUGAGAAAAUCAAGGUUACCUCGCCUGCAUUCUGUUAUACCUUCUUCAGCGGGAGAGAAGGUGGUGGCGUUAUGGCAUACCUGCCCAGAAUAACCAACGACCUGAGGCGGUUCAAGAAUUCGCUCUGGACAGAGGCAUAUGUAUCAUCCACCCUUUCCAUACUGAAGAAAACAGAUUCAGAGGUACCACUACGGCGGUUACUUUACAAGUCAGCUCACCGUUUCCAGACUUUCAAAAGGAAAGACAGAAGACGAAAAGAGACAGAGAAAAAUUUAAAAUACAUUUACUUUAAAUGCACAGUUGUUUUGCCUGUCCUGUUGUACCCGAAUAUUAAUACCACAGUUGAUCUUAGGUGGUACAAGAAUAAAACAUUUUAAAUUUGAAUACUUCAGUAGUGAUUUUACUAAGUAAUGGG